This is a long non-coding RNA of Nannospalax galili (Upper Galilee mountains blind mole rat), 280 nucleotides long. RefSeq lists it as uncharacterized. The record is from RefSeq and is a predicted model, not a curated record. The transcript is spliced from 2 exons. NCBI's taxonomy places the organism in Eukaryota, Metazoa, Chordata, Mammalia, Rodentia, Spalacidae.
UUGGACCGCCCACGAGGGGAGGGAGAGACCCACAUGCUCCUUUUCUCUUACAUGGACUUGCUGCCUCCUAGACAUUAAUCCCUUUACCCUUCCUGUAAAUCUGCGUCUUCCCAGCCAACCUGUGGUGUGUCAAACCCUGGAUGAAGUGACUUUGUGGUAGGACUGUUGGAAUGUGUCAAGAAGCUGAGAGAAUGGUGGGGUUUUCCUAUGGACACAAUCCCUGUUCAGGUUGACAGAGGUCAAGUGUCCAGACUCUAGACUUGUUUCAGCAACAGUCUAG